GCAUUUAGGCCAAAGAAACAGAAGCUUAGGAUCACGCGAAAACACGUACGUGAAUGUCCAUAGCGGGGGUAUCUGCAGCAGCCUAGGACUGGGGACGAGCAGCGUGUCCUUCAGCGGGUGAAUGUUUGAAGCAACCGGUCGACCCACACCAAGGACCGUAGCUAGCAAUACGAAGGAAGAACUGACUAUGGAUACACGCAACCAUCUGGAUGGAUCUCAAGGGCAUGAUGAGAGUGAAGGGAAAAAAGCCCACCCGGAGUCACUGAGACCUACUGCAUACCGCAUCAUGGUUCCAUUUACCGAAGUGCUCAAAUGACCAACUUGUACACGAGCGAGCACACAACACUGGUGGUCGCGGGGUGGGAGGGAGCAGAGGGGAGGAGGCUGUGGUUACGAAAGGUUAACAGGAGGGGUCCUUGGGAGGGAACCAACUGGACGCGGAUGCCCGUGGGAGUCGCCUGAAUCUACACGCGUGGCAAAAGUGCAGAGCUACGCGCGGCCGCACACGCGGGUGCGGCACACACGGAGCAGCUCUCGGACGGCAGCAAUGCCAAAGCCGGGUGUGCGAUUGCACUAGAUGUGCACCCUGCCGGUCCCAGGGAACUGCGGGAGGCGCCCCGGCGCUUCUCCGGAACUCCCCGUGAGGUCCGUCACUUCAAGAUCCAAGUUCCAGCCAAAAGCACACAAGCAGGGCUUGGCGUGGACGGACACGACGACUUGCGCGACUCUGCACGCAGACGUCCCGCUCGUCCCGGCGGGACGUCUAGGCGUCGCGCGGCCCACCGGGCCCGACCGCUAGAAAGGAGCGCGCGGGAGCCGAGCCCAGAGGGGCGCGCAGGCGACCGGCUUGUUUUGAUUGGGCAGGGGACACGUCCGUCAGGCCGCGGGGCCGGGGCUUCCGCGGGCGGCCUGGGAGCGGCCCCGUCCUGAGCCGAGCUGGGGCAUUGGCGGAGCUAGCCGGAAGGGGUGGGCAGGAAGGCGGUGCCCCGCGACCUGUGGGGCGGGGCUUCCUGUGGCGCGCUGAGGGACAGGAGGAGACCGGUGCCGGGGCGGUGAGGGUGGGCGCGGCGUGCCCGGACGACGCCCCGGCCUUCUGGACACCGCCCUCCAUCCCUGAGCUCCGCCCUCCGUCCCUGGGCUCCGCCCCCCGCCUCUCCGGGUCCUGGCCCCUGCCAGAGUCUCCGUUCCCCGAGGCCUGGGGACCUGUGCGUUCCGCCGGGGCGAGGCCGACCUGACGGUGUCUGGCCCUCUAGACGGCCAGGGCCAGUGUAUCGGGGCCCCCGGGGGCCUAGUGAGGGGAGAAGGGGGCGGCGGCCCCACCGGGAUGACCAAGGGCAUAGUCACCGCGUCUGCAGCCCCUCCCCGCCCUGGCCUCGGAGAGCGGCCUUGCUGUGCGGUCCGGGGCGCAUCCAGCCUCCCGGGGACCGGAUCGCGGCACCCCCGCCCCCCUCCCCCCCCCUCCCACCCCUUCCUUGCCCGGCGCGCUGUGUGUUCCAGCGACCCUGAGUGCGUCUGGGACAGUUCUCUGUAAAGCAUGGAUCCCACCUCCACACACACACAGGCCUAGUACCCGGUACCCGGGAAAAGGUGUGGUCCCCCUGGGAGAGAGUCCUGCCCGAGUCACCCUGUUCUCCAGGACCAGCUGUGGUUGUCCCUGCCUGUCACCUGGGGAGGUCACAAGCAAGGGCGGCCCCGCAGAGGCAGAGAAAGCUCGUGGCUUCUCUACAAGUGGGUGCCAUCAGGAACCAUCCGUCCCCGUGGUUCUCAGGCUGGACGGCCGCGUGGGAACACCUGGAGGGCUUGUUCAACCUCGCGACGCCGGACUCCACCCCGGAGUCUCUGAUCUUGCAGAUCUGCGGUGGGGCCUGAGAACUUGUGACUCUAACAAGCUCCGGGCUGACUGACGCUGCUGCCACCACCACGGGUCUGGGACCCCCUCUGUGAGGAGCACUGCUGCGGAGACCUGAGACUCACUCCUAGGUCACACGGGUCCACCUGGAGCAGUGCUGGAGGGGACGACACAGGAGGAGCGUCCUGGCUCCUGAACCUGGGUGCGGGCGUCCUGGUCUCACAGGGCCCCUCAGGAACACGUCCUUUGUCUAAAGGGGGGGGGGGGGUGGCACGUUCCGGCCCGCGGACCAAGGCAGGCAGGGCCCGCAUUUGUAUGGGCAGAGGGUGGCUCUUCGUCUUUAAAGGCUUGCAGACAAAACGCACAAAGAGCCAGAGACAGGAAGAAGAAUAUGGGACCGGGUUCCCGGGCGGCCCACGCAGCCCAAGAGGGGCGCUUUCUGCCCUUUGCGGGGCAGCGUGCAGCCCUGGCGGCCGUCCCGACACAGGGGCGGGCAGCUGUCUGUCGUCACGGCAGCCGGUCAGCACCGUUGCCAGCGUGCUGAGUCCUGCCCAGGCCUGAGAGCAGGAGGCUCCGGACCGCCGGUGCUCCCGCCCGGGCGCCUCAGUCCUGCCCCCGCGUCCUCUCCUUCCCCGGGGCCGGGGGCAGCUGCCCCGUGAGGCAGGCAGGGGUGACCUCUCUCCGCACACAGGCGUGCCCCCCCUUCUGCCCCCUGCCCUCCGCCGGGCGGCUGGCAAGCGGGUGAGGGCAGGGAGUGGAGAGGAGUGGGCCCCUCCUCAGUGAUGGUUCGGGUAGCCGGGUGGCCCCGUGCUGGACUCUGGUGGCCCAGGUGGUGGCAGGCACCGGCUUGCGGUGGGGGAGGGGCGGGGUGCAGCUGUCAAUUCAGGAAGGAGCUCCCACUGUGGCCACAGGAGGCCAGCAGCAUCUGGUUUCCCUGGGGAAGUGCCCACCCGGUCCUUCCUGGCUGGGCCUCAGAGAUGAGUUCGCUCUGACACGCUCUGACAUGCUCCCGAGCUCUGUGUGUCACGCCGGUUCUGUGGGCCGGACCUUUCCCGUUGGCCGUUGCUGCCGCGCAGGGCCAGGGCCCGGGGUGCAGCUCCUGGCACCGUGGGCGGGGCGGCCGCCGUGUGCUUUUUGAACCCGAGGACAGAGGGUCUCGGGGCAGCCAGGCCGUGUCCCGGGAGCAGCAGCAGAGACCAGGGCGUUGCUUGCUGGGCCUGACCUCGGGGACCGUGGUCGUGGCUCCUGGGGACAUCCCCCGGCCAGCGUGUCGGGUGGCUUGGUCCUGAAGACGCCCCCCGGAGACCCACAGGCCCAGUGUGGCCCCACACGCCGGGGCCAUCUGGCCGGCGUCGUCGCCAGCCCCCUGGCGUGUGUCUGAGCUGAACGGCUUUCCCGUCCCUCGGCCCCAGCAGGAGGAACAGCAAGGAGGGCCCGGCUUCUCCCGGCGGCCUUCCCUCGGAGGCCUCCUGCCCCUGGUGGCGGGCGGCGGCGGCGGGCG
This is a long non-coding RNA of Acinonyx jubatus (cheetah), 3350 nucleotides long. RefSeq lists it as uncharacterized. The record is from RefSeq and is a predicted model, not a curated record. The transcript is spliced from 3 exons. NCBI's taxonomy places the organism in Eukaryota, Metazoa, Chordata, Mammalia, Carnivora, Felidae.